CUCCUUCUUCCGCGUGAGGGGGUUGUUCUCGGUGCGCCCUCUCUCCUUCGGUACCGGUACAGCGAGAGGGAGCGCGCGGACCGGGAGGGCGGCCAGGAGGUCCGGGAGGGGCCGUCCUCCGUCCGGGUGAGGCGGGAGCGGAAGGGCCGGUUGAGUAAGAAGCCGCGCGGCGACCGGCACCGGCGGCGGCCGCGGCGGCGCGAGAGGGGCCGCCGGGGCGAGGGCGCGAGGGAGCGGCAGCAGCGGCGGCCCUUCCCCAUGUUCUACUUCUGCGUGUUCCGUAGCCGCUUCGCCAAGUCCCACUGCCCGUGGCCCUUCUAGCACGCCGCGACGCGGCCCUUCGUCGUAGACGAGUCGUUCUUCUUGCGGUUCGCGGCCUUCUCCGAGAGGUUCUGCCAGGUUCAAUUGUUCUCGCUGAUGUCGUUGCACUACCCACGCGACGGGAUGGAGUUUCACUUGUUCUUUCGUCCGACUCUAGAUGGCCUGAAGUGUAAGGUUCGUUAGUAUUUGUUGAUAAGUAUACCCGUCAGGUCACUACAAGGUGUUGUGUCUACGUGAGUGAACCAACUCUACACACGUACCUCCUGAGCUAAGUGACUGUCUACCAACACGGUGCUCAUACUGUGGUCUUUGUUCUGUGAAAGAACUCCUUGAAGUCCAAGAAACUCAUCAGUAACGUGUGUUUAGUAGAGUCAACAUUGUAACCAGUCCCGAAGUAUGACUCGGAUGCUCAACCUAGAUCUGUAACAACG
Molecule: ribosomal RNA, 752 nt
Filed under: Triticum aestivum (bread wheat)
Lineage: Eukaryota; Viridiplantae; Streptophyta; Magnoliopsida; Poales; Poaceae
Description: partial small subunit ribosomal RNA
Source: RNAcentral